ACAAAACAAAACAAAGAAGAAGUUCGAGGAACCGCGAGAGAGAAAGGGAAAAUGUGAAGAGAGAAUGUGAUUUUUGAAGGAGAUAAAGGGAAAAGAAGAUGGAAUCAAGAGUUUGAGACUUUCAUAGGCUUGGAUUCCAAGAUUUCUUCAAGAUUGAGUUUGAGCUUGGAUUGAAGUGUGGAGAUAGGAGGAGAGGUGGUUGAGCUAAGGAUUGAAGAUUUGGGGCAAGGUUAUUGAACUUGGAAGAUUGGUGGCUAGAAUUGUGGUGAGAUUUUGCUCAAACGAGGUGAUAUAGGUACUAGCACUAGUGCUCCGACUACGGAUCAGUAGGGAGGCGCGUGACGUGGAUGGCCUGGACUAGUGUUGGUGUAGUGGUUUGCUUUUAUUAUGUUUAUGUAGUGUUUAUGUUAUGGAUGAAUGAUGAUUUCGGUUGGUUAGGCCUAAGGCCUUGGUAUGUACAUGCGUAUAGGAAUUUAUGAUUUGGGAUGAUAUGGCCUGAGGCCCUGGAUGAUUAUUUUGGAGGUAUGGGAAUUGUGUGGUUUAAAUUGCUUUGUGCAGGGGGCAUUCUCCGAAAUACAGGGAGGUGCUACCGGAUUUUUGUUUAAA
This is a long non-coding RNA of Tripterygium wilfordii, 606 nucleotides long. RefSeq lists it as uncharacterized. NCBI's taxonomy places the organism in Eukaryota, Viridiplantae, Streptophyta, Magnoliopsida, Celastrales, Celastraceae. The transcript is spliced from 4 exons. The record is from RefSeq and is a predicted model, not a curated record.